This 22-nucleotide microRNA is filed under the name Drosophila ananassae. Its description in RNAcentral is "Dan-Novel-15_3p (mature (guide))". The record is from RNAcentral. Lineage: Eukaryota; Metazoa; Arthropoda; Insecta; Diptera; Drosophilidae.
AAGUACACGGUUCCGACUCUAU